Triticum aestivum (bread wheat) is the source of this 725-nucleotide long non-coding RNA. RefSeq lists it as uncharacterized. NCBI's taxonomy places the organism in Eukaryota, Viridiplantae, Streptophyta, Magnoliopsida, Poales, Poaceae. The record is from RefSeq and is a predicted model, not a curated record. The transcript has 3 exons.
AAAUCUCCUCAACUCCAUCGGCUCCUCUCGAUGUGGUCCUAAACUUGCGAGCUCCAUUGAUAAUGAACUGAAGAUUGAUUGCCAUCGGCCAAAGGCGCAUGGCGAGGCAGAAGGAACGAUCCGCUACAUGGCUGCAGAUUUCGUAGAAACUGGGUCUGCUUCCUCUCUCCCUCCAAAGGAAAAAAACUCCACGAUUGAUUCAGGUGUUGAGAUUCUCCAAGUACCAGAACUCUGUCGUGCGAUGGAUGAACUUCCCCAUCCAUGGCUCCGACGUGGACGGAUUAAACCUCCAGCAAGGUCAGCAUAUAUGUGCAAUGGGUCGGACAUGGCUUUUACUCUGGCUACCCCGUGGAUAAGGAUCAAGCUUGAUAUGGUCCAUGUUCGUACUUAAUAUUGGAUAUGAAAAUUAUGAUUUUGUGCUAUAGAAAGCCUGCUUUGACUAUUAAAUAAGGAAUUGUCUAUAGAACAGUUUCUCGGAUUGGAAUUAUUUUUCACAAUGUAUGCCUGCAACUAUCAAUGGUUGUAGAAAAUCAAUGAUCACCCAAUAUUCAAGAUUUUUAUUUGCAUUUAAAUUACGGACUGCUAUAAAAUUCAUGAUUGGAAUGACUGGGCGCUCUUAAGGUUUCCGUAUUAACUAAGCGAUCAUGCAUGGUUUGUUUCUUCAAUAAUCGAAAAAUAUUUUUCCAUGUAGUACAUGCGGAGAUGGAAGUAAAUUUGUCACCUAA